Caenorhabditis elegans is the source of this 196-nucleotide non-coding RNA. NCBI's taxonomy places the organism in Eukaryota, Metazoa, Nematoda, Chromadorea, Rhabditida, Rhabditidae. The record is from Ensembl.
ACGCAACGUCUUAGACACUCGCGAGAAAGAGAGAGAGAGAGUGUGUGUGUUGACCCUUGAGACGCAGACACUUGUCUCUCUCUGUUCACCCUCUUCCGUUGUCUAUACGGAAUUCAAAUGAAAUUCAAGGGCACAUACGCCGCCCGACGUUUACGAUGAGAAGUAGGAGGACGGGGGAAAGAUGAAUGUGUAUUUC